This is a long non-coding RNA of Amphimedon queenslandica, 223 nucleotides long. RefSeq lists it as uncharacterized. The transcript is spliced from 3 exons. The record is from RefSeq and is a predicted model, not a curated record. NCBI's taxonomy places the organism in Eukaryota, Metazoa, Porifera, Demospongiae, Haplosclerida, Niphatidae.
UUUUUUUUCUUUUUCUAUCUCUAGUUUGGUUUUUCUGGUAAAGUUUAUGCUACAGAGCCAACCAAACAAUUGGGAAGGCAGUUAAUGGAGGAAUUAUGUGCAUUUCUGUAUCGCUCACCCACACCAUCAAAAAAUUGGAGAGAUGAAUCAAUACUACAAUCGUUGCCCGAGUGUGCCGUUAAAAGCCUAACUGAUGUUAAUUCUUGGAAAUCUUUUUAUAAGC